CCCGCUCAAGUAAACUUAAAGGAAGUUAGACGGGGCCCGGCACAAGCGGAGGAGCAUGUGGUUUAAUUCGAUGAUACGCGAGGAACCUUACCUGGGCUCGAACGUAAGAUGACUGUAGGUGAAAGCUUACAUCUCUUCGGAGCAUUUUACGAGGUGCUGCAUGGUUGUCGUCAGCUCGUGCCGUGAGGUGUCGGGUUAAGUCCCAUAACGAGCGCAACCCUACCUUUAGUUGCCAUCAGGUAAUGCUGGGGACUCUAAAGGAACUGCCUACGCAAGUAGUGAGGAAGGCGGGGAUGACGUCAAAUCAGCACGGCCCUUACGUCCAGGGCUACACACGUGCUACAAUGGCCGAUACAGAGGGCAGCUACCUGGUGACAGGAUGCAAAUCUCCAAAGUCGGUCUCAGUUCGGAUCGGAGUCUGCAACCCGACUCCGUGAAGUUGGAUUCGCUAGUAAUCGCGCAUCAGCCAUGGCGCGGUGAAUACGUUCCCGGGCCUU
RNAcentral lists this ribosomal RNA (497 nucleotides) under uncultured Sphingobacteriales bacterium. RNAcentral describes it as "bacterial SSU rRNA". It matches the Rfam family "Bacterial small subunit ribosomal RNA", at positions 883 to 1382 of the family's 1533-position model. Lineage: Bacteria; Pseudomonadati; Bacteroidota; Sphingobacteriia; Sphingobacteriales. The record is from RNAcentral.